This 1353-nucleotide ribosomal RNA is filed under the name uncultured bacterium. RNAcentral's name for it is "16S ribosomal RNA". It matches the Rfam family "Bacterial small subunit ribosomal RNA", at positions 1 to 1363 of the family's 1533-position model. The record is from RNAcentral.
UUCGCCCUUAGAGUUUGAUCCUGGCUCAGGACGAACGCUGGCGGCGUGCCUAACACAUGCAAGUCGAACGGAGAUGUUUAUUUCGGUAGACAUCUUAGUGGCGCACGGGUGAGUAACGCGUGAAUAACCUGACCCGAAGAGGGGGAUAACACCUGGAAACAAGUGCUAAUACCGCAUAAGACCACGAACCGGCAUCGGAAAGGGGUCAAAGGAGGAAUCCGCUUUGGGAGGGGUUCGCGUCCCAUUAGGUAGUUGGUGAGGUAACGGCCCACCAAGCCGACGUUGGGUAGCCGAGCUGAGAGGCUGAUCGGCCACACUGGAACUGAGACACGGUCCAGACUCCUACGGGAGGCAGCAGUGGGGAAUAUUGGGCAAUGGGCGCAAGCCUGACCCAGCAACGCCGCGUGAGGGAAGAAGGUUUUCGGAUUGUAAACCUCUGUCGCAGGGGACGAAGGAAGUGACGGUACCCUGUAAGAAAGCCCCGGCUAACUACGUGCCAGCAGCCGCGGUAAUACGUAGGUGGCAAGCGUUGUCCGGAUUUACUGGGUGUAAAGGGCGUGUAGCCGGGGGAGCAAGUCAGAUGUGAAAUCUAUGGGCUUAACCCAUAAACUGCAUUUGAAACUGUUCUUCUUGAGUGCUGGAGGGGCAAUCGGAAUUCCUUGUGUAGCGGUGAAAUGCGUAGAUAUAAGGAGGAACACCAGUGGCGAAGGCGGAUUGCUGGACAGUAACUGACGGUGAGGCGCGAAAGUGUGGGGAGCAAACAGGAUUAGAUACCCUGGUAGUCCACACUGUAAACGAUGAAUACUAGGUGGUGCGGGGACUGACCCCCUUCGUACCGCCAGUAAACACAAUAAGUAUUCCACCUGGGGAAUACGAUCGCAAGGUUGAAACUCAAAGGAAUGGACGGGGGCCCGCAUAAGCGGUGGAUUAUGUGGUUUAAUUCGAAGCAACGCGAAGAACCUUACCAGGUCUUGACAUCCCUCUGACCGGAACUUAACCGUUCCUUUCCUUCGGGACAGAGGAGACAGGUGGUGCAUGGUUGUCGUCAGCUCGUGUCGUGAGAUGUUGGGUUAAGUCCCGCAACGAGCGCAACCCCUAUCCUCAGUAGCCAGCGGUCAGGCCGGGCACUCUGUGGAGACUGCCAGGGAUAACCUGGAGGAAGGUGGGGACGACGUCAAAUCAUCAUGCCCCUUAUGAUCUGGGCUACACACGUGCUACAAUGGCAGUUACAAUGUGAAGCAAACCCGCGAGGGGGAGCAAACCACAAAAAGGCUGUCUCAGUUCGGAAAGUAGUCUGCAACCCGACUACACGAAGCUGGAAUCGCUAGUAAUCGUGAAUCAGAAUGUCACGGU